This is a long non-coding RNA of Oncorhynchus gorbuscha (pink salmon), 1392 nucleotides long. RefSeq lists it as uncharacterized. The record is from RefSeq and is a predicted model, not a curated record. The transcript is spliced from 6 exons. NCBI's taxonomy places the organism in Eukaryota, Metazoa, Chordata, Actinopteri, Salmoniformes, Salmonidae.
UGUCGCAGUUCGUAAAAUUACUGAUGUGAUAAAUACAAGGCAAAGGAAGUUGAGAGCCAUGGCCAUAACCGUGGUACACAUCCUCCGCACUUCGAAAUGCUCCCUUCCCUCGUCCAGAUGGUCAGGAAAGUUGCACAAACGGUGCUGUUUAUACCCAAAUGCACCCUCUUGUGUCACUCCCUUCCAAAUAGUUUGGCACACGGCAGCCACCUCCCGUUUCCUCCCAAUUCCGAAGAAGUUCUCAAACAGUCACAGCCCCGCGCGAAAUGGGAUGGUCAGAAUUACACCAAAAUACCUCAAGCUAUUUUUCCCCAAAUUCGGCCGUUCCUGCAUAUGGGCAUUCCAUCUACAGGAACUCUUCCCCCCUCGAACAUCCACCGAGGUCACAGCUCUGUGGCGAAGAAACAAUUGCGAGGUGGUGGUUGCUGAUGUGAGGUCUACAGACAAAAAUUCCUCUUUCCUUCUCCAACAUUCAGAGUUUAAAACUCUGCAGACCCACAAAUGGCUUGUGGAUGAGACAAUCGAAUGGUACUUUCAAGCCACCACAAAAAAACUGUGGUCACGGGACAAAGUUACACCCUAAAUCAUUACUCAGCCCAAGUCAUUCUAAAUGGAGAGUGUGCAAGCAAAGUCUGCCCAAGUAUCUGCAUGAACCAUCAGGCCAAGUGUUCUUGGUUGACCCUGCUGGACAGAAAGAGAACGAGGAAUCGGAACACGGCUGCAUUAAAAUUCAGAGAAUACUUCAAAAUAAGAAGAUCCUGUCAUGGAAAAGACGACUGGGUGGACAUGAAGUGGAAAGGAGGGGAAAUAACUCACACCAUAUAGCAGGACACCUUCAGCUGCGGGGUCUUUGUAAUGCAGAUGGCCAAGGAAGUUGCACAGAACUUCCCCAACAUCCCAAAUUGAUAUAGAGCCUUCAAAAACACACGGAGCAACUGCGAAAAGAAAUGGCUGAGGAUAUACUAAAAAUGUCUGGUAUGUAAUGACAUUUAAAUCAAAGUAUAUGUCAAUUCUUUAAUUUUAUGUAUGUAGUUGUGUGGGACAGCCAUAUGUUCAGUUCAUGUCUAUGAAGUCAGAGUUCAACAAAGCCAACAACUCCUUCAUGUGUGCCACUGAUAAAGAACCUGGAUGUGGCCCAAAGACUGACUGGGUUAGUAACUUUAUUUAAUAUGUUUAUAAUCUUUUGACAACAGUGACGGCAUGUAAGACAAUUUAUGAUAUAACACAAUGGAUGGCUAAUUCGUCAUACUGCAUUGAUAUUUGAUAUAAUUUAUAACGUGUUAUGCUUUGUUUUGUUUUAGAUUGAAUGUUUUGCCUGCCAACGGUGGUUCCAUGUGCUGUGCCUAGGAAUGAAGACACAAGAGUUCAACAGAGUAAAGAACACAAACUGGA